Lingula anatina is the source of this 304-nucleotide long non-coding RNA. The record is from RefSeq and is a predicted model, not a curated record. NCBI's taxonomy places the organism in Eukaryota, Metazoa, Brachiopoda, Lingulata, Lingulida, Lingulidae.
UUCCCGAGAGCCCAAGAUGGCUGCUUACACAGGGGAGAUAUGACGAGGUCAAGGCCAUUACGCAAAGAAUCGCUGAGAGAAAUAAGAAACCUAUGCCAGAUAUAGACACUUUCUUUAAAGACUAUGAGACACAAAGACGGCUCCAAGAAGGCGAGAAGCAUGUGAGCACAACGUAUUGGGAUCUAUUUCGAACACCUGCUAUGGCAAAAAUGACGCUUUCUUUCAUGUUUGUCUGGUUCAGUGUCAGCGUGAUCAGUUAUGGACUGCAAUUUAACUUGAAGAACAUGGCAGGAGACAUCUAUAU